GUUUCGGUAGUUUAAUAUAGAAUGCGGCGGUGAAGUUGCUGUGGUGAUGUAAUGUUCCGGGACA
RNAcentral lists this transfer RNA (64 nucleotides) under Kuphus polythalamius. RNAcentral describes it as "tRNA-Phe". The record is from RNAcentral. Lineage: Eukaryota; Metazoa; Mollusca; Bivalvia; Myida; Teredinidae.